Molecule: long non-coding RNA, 535 nt
Organism: Scleropages formosus (Asian bonytongue)
Lineage: Eukaryota; Metazoa; Chordata; Actinopteri; Osteoglossiformes; Osteoglossidae
Exons: 4
Source: RefSeq, a predicted model, not a curated record
ACAGCGCCUACUACUCGUAGGUCUCAUUUUCCAAAACUGUAACAGCAGCUUCUGCAUUACGGAGAAAAUCAUGAACGUCAUUUUUACAGGAAGUUCAGCAGAGCUCCGGGGAUGCAUCUCCGUCCACAAGCCUCGGCUGAAGAUGAUGCACUCACGCUCUCCUGUUCCAUACUUGAGCACACGGAGGGGCCAGGCGUUAGGAGAAGAGUGUUGCCCGCUCCCCGGAGACAGAAGUGUGUGCUGCUGAAGUACCUGUGACCCUGCCAUGGCUCUGAGAAGACCAGUAGGUGCUCCUUUCUGAGACAGACAACCCCUCCCCAUCCUCUGCUGUGUAUCUAUUUUUCCUGUUUUAUUGCCGUUUGUGUUUGUUAUUUCUGUAAAGCUUCCCAUAGCAGGACGUACUUUAUAUGCUCGUAUAGGUUAGCUACACGUAGCACGGAGUUGAAAGUUCUCAGUGCUUGGCGAAGCCGCGUCAGAGGAGCUCUGCUGUUGUAGUUCUGAGAAGAGUGCUCAUGCUGCUUUAGGGUCGCACCCC